AUUGAACGCUGGCGGAAUGCUUUACACAUGCAAGUCGAACGGUAGAGGGGGCAACCCCUUGAGAGUGGCGAACGGGUGAGUAAUAUAUCGGAACGUGCCCAGUCGUGGGGAUAACGUAGCGAAAGCUACGCUAAUACCGCAUACGAUCUAUGGAUGAAAGCGGGGGAUCGCAAGACCUCGCGCGAUUGGAGCGGCCGAUAUCAGAUUAGGUAGUUGGUGAGGUAAAGGCUCGACCAAGCCGACGAUCUGUAGCUGGUCUGAGAGGACGACCAGCCACACUGGGACUGAGACACGGCCCAGACUCCUACGGGAGGCAGCAGUGGGGAAUUUUU
Molecule: ribosomal RNA, 332 nt
Filed under: uncultured bacterium
Lineage: Bacteria
Description: bacterial SSU rRNA
Rfam family: Bacterial small subunit ribosomal RNA
Source: RNAcentral